UAUCGGCGAAAGAAAUAGAUUGUUGGAAGACUAAUUAAUUUUUUUUUUAUAUUUUCUGUAGCUAUAGACUGUUUUAGAAUUGUCGCCUUUUUGUCGAGUUCAAUAACUGAGUGAAGCAUGUAAAAUCCUUCUCAGCACCUCUGGUCAUUUGGGAUCUCCCAGCUCAAUGGGAACACCGCAUCUCUUCUUUGAAGUAGUUUGAAUGUACAGCAAAGCAGGGUUAAUGACAUUAAGUUAGCCUGUGUGGUGGAGGUGGCGUGCUGGCAACACAGGUCAUCCGCCGGCGCGUUGAGCGCCGAGAGCUCUGUCGGAUCUGCUGUGUCUUCAUGUGCUGCGGAGCGGAGGAAAGGAGAGGCUGUUCCGUUCAGGUGAACCGCGCGUCGCCACCGAAUUGACUGAUUGAUCAGAGGAAGGAGGAGGAGGGGAGCACUUGGAUGCGAGUCUAAUCUUUAAAACAAAGAACAGGAUCUGCUGCUUGAUGGAGCUCCAGCAGGAAAGGGCCGAACAUUCACUGGACAUGUGGACAUUUGUUGCGGAAUAAUCUUUUUUUUUUAAAUUUCCUAUACAUUUACAUGUUUAUAUAAUUUCAUUUCAUCCAUUCUACCAGCAUACACAGGAGGGUACGAGGGAGCUCAAGAGAAGAGGAAACACCUGGUUGACAGCUGUGCGGGGGGCUAGGGGUGGGAGAGAAAAAUGCUGCCUUCGCAAGAAGCUUCCAAAAUAUACCAUGAAAAUUAUAUGCGCAAUUCCAGGGCUAUCGGGGUCCUGUGGGCCAUAUUCACCAUCUGCUUGGCCAUCAUCAACGUGGUGGUCUUCAUCCAGCCUUACUGGAUUGGCGAUAGCGUCACAAGCCCCCAAGCUGGCCACUUCGGCUUGUUCCACUACUGCGUGGGCACCGGGAACUCCAACCGGGAGCUGUGGUGCCAGGGCAGCUUUUCCGACUUCAGUUCCAUCCCGUCGGGAUCAUUCAAGGCGGCCUCCUUCUUCAUGCUGAUGUCCAUGGUGCUCAUCAUCAGCUCUAUCGGCUGCUUCGCCCUCUUCUUCUUCUGCAACACCGCCACGGUCUACAAGACGUGCGCCUGGAUGCAGUUGCUAUGCGCUGUGUGUCUGGUGCUCAGUUGUAUGAUCUUCCCAAAUGGCUGGGAUGCUGAGGUCAUCAGGGACAUGUGUGGGGAAGACACGGGAAAGUACACCCUGGGCAACUGCUCGGUGCGCUGGGCAUACAUCCUGGCAUUCAUCGGCAUCCUGGAUGCCCUCAUUCUCUCCUUCCUGGCCUUUGUGCUGGGGAACAGGCAGAGUGAUUUGCUGCAGGAGGAGCUGAUGACCAGCAACAAAGAUUGAAAUCCAGGACCCUAAGGCCCUAAGAUUUGGAGUUCAGUGAUUCCACUGAGAACGAAACUUCCUCCCCUCCUCAUCUAACUCCCGUCCUCCCUCCUCCUCCUCUUCUUCUUUCCAAAACUCUUCAGGUUAAAACCUUGGAUCAGGGCAUGGAGACCAAAGCCCAGCAGUUUGUACAGCAGGACUAGAGAGGACUCACCUAACAAAGGCAAACUCUGUUUAAAGAGAUGUACAUCCUGAGGAGAAGUAUGAUGAUCAGCUUGAUUAUGAAGAUUAUGAAGUUCCUGAUGAUGAUGAGAAUCAUUCUUGCAGUAAGCAUAGUCUAUGAAAAUGUAAACAUUUUUAUUGAGUGGGAAAAGGUCAUGUCCAGGUUUAAAAGUAACCUUAUAAAGUGCAUAUGUAAAUACACAGGUGCUACUUCUGACAGGGGGAAACAAAAAGACAAAAAAGACAAAAAGAUGAUUUUGUAUAGCCAGUCUUUUUCAAGCCAGUUUUCAACUUCUUUUUCUACAUGACAAGGUCUGACCCCCAAAAAUAAACAUUUAUGUCAAUGAGAUGUUUUUAUGGCAACAGGGUAAAAAGAGACACUGUUGAACAGUUUUGGCCAGAGAGAAUACAGAAUGCUCCAUCUGUCAAACUGAGGCUGUCAUAGAGUCCUGCAUGGCAGCCAGAGUCACACACCACUUCAUUACCACUGGUGGGGCUGUUUAAAGAAGAAAUCAGAAACCAGGUUGACUAUUAAUAUUGUUUUACUUUACUGUUAUGACUGUAUUUUUUCAUAUUCUUCAGUGUUUUUUUUUUCAUUCGAUAUAAACAUG
This is an RNA transcript of Monopterus albus (swamp eel), 2156 nucleotides long. It is a transcript of the gene named LHFPL tetraspan subfamily member 4a, with no coding region annotated. NCBI's taxonomy places the organism in Eukaryota, Metazoa, Chordata, Actinopteri, Synbranchiformes, Synbranchidae. The record is from RefSeq and is a predicted model, not a curated record. The transcript is spliced from 4 exons.